This 465-nucleotide ribosomal RNA is filed under the name uncultured bacterium. RNAcentral's name for it is "partial 16S ribosomal RNA". It matches the Rfam family "Bacterial small subunit ribosomal RNA", at positions 28 to 507 of the family's 1533-position model. The record is from RNAcentral.
GACGAACGCUGGCGGCGUGCUUAACACAUGCAAGUCGAGCGAGGCCCCUCCUUCGGGAGGGUGUCCUAGCGGCGAACGGGUGAGUAACACGUGGGCAACCUGCCCUCAGCUCUGGGAUAACUCCGGGAAACCGGGGCUAAUACCGGAUACGACCUCCACGGGCAUCUGCGGAGGUGGAAAGUUUUUCGGCUGAGGAUGGGCCCGCGGCCUAUCAGCUAGUUGGUGGGGUAGUGGCCCACCAAGGCGACGACGGGUAGCCGGCCUGAGAGGGCGACCGGCCACACUGGGACUGAGACACGGCCCAGACUCCUACGGGAGGCAGCAGUGGGGAAUAUUGCGCAAUGGGCGAAAGCCUGACGCAGCGACGCCGCGUGAGGGACGAAGGCCUUCGGGUUGUAAACCUCUUUCAGCAGGGACGAAGCGAAAGUGACGGUACCUGCAGAAGAAGCGCCGGCCAACUACGUG